UCUGAUCAGUACUGGAAUUUUACUCUCCUUUCUCAGAGCUGAACCAUACAACUUAUACUUCUAGGAUUAAUGAAUGCUAUUGGCAAAAGAUGGAGGAUAAUUGAAAGUAUUUUUGAAAAUUUUAAAAAUCCUGAUUGAACGGGUACGGAAGACAGUUCAGGGGUCAACUGACGACAUAGGAUGGCUGCAACGUGCUCCAGAAAUGCCUCCAGUUGAAGACGGAACUGAAAGGUUUAUGGAAAUUAUGGAUGAUAUCAGGCAUGGCCUACACAAGUUGCCAAAUUCUAUGGUUUACUUGUUGGUACCAGGUAGCAAAUAUUUUCCUUCCCUAAAUAGUAUCAAAUCUUUUUUUCGUUCUCUUCCUUCUGUCAUAUGUGGAACACUCAGAUGUAUGUGGAAGAUCAUCUCUGAUGUGUUCCUGUAGUGGGGUGUUUGAAGCCAAGUGACUUUUAUGUGUUGGUAUGCUUCUAAUAUUUGGGUUGGGGUGUUUCUUUCUUCUUGCUUUUUUGGUACAUCAGAGGCUUUAGUCUCGGGGAAGGGGAGUCUUGCCUACGGCAAGACUUGUACCCUUAAUCUCUGAGUUAGGUACAGGGAUUUUGGCCAACAGGGCCAGACCAAGUUGGUUGGAUUGGGGUGUUUCAAGCCAAAUGACUUAUUUGGGUUGGACUGCUUCUAAUCUAGUAUCUUUUUUGUUAUUUUGGUAUUCUUCCAAUCCAACUUCAGAAAAAUAUGAUAGAUUGCAAGUUUGGAUUAUCAGUAGAUCAUCUUUUUCAUGAGAUGGUAUGCAUUAGGCUGGUAAACAUGUUGACUCCAACACCGCUAAG
Camellia sinensis is the source of this 824-nucleotide non-coding RNA. Lineage: Eukaryota; Viridiplantae; Streptophyta; Magnoliopsida; Ericales; Theaceae. The record is from RefSeq and is a predicted model, not a curated record.